Molecule: ribosomal RNA, 482 nt
Filed under: uncultured bacterium
Lineage: Bacteria
Description: partial 16S ribosomal RNA
Rfam family: Bacterial small subunit ribosomal RNA
Source: RNAcentral
AUUGAACGCUGGCGGCAUGCCUUACACAUGCAAGUCGAACGGUAACAGGUCUUCGGAUGCUGACGAGUGGCGAACGGGUGAGUAAUACAUCGGAACGUGCCCGAUCGUGGGGGAUAACGGAGCGAAAGCUUUGCUAAUACCGCAUACGAUCUACGGAUGAAAGCAGGGGACCGCAAGGCCUUGCGCGGACGGAGCGGCCGAUGGCAGAUUAGGUAGUUGGUGGGAUAAAAGCUUACCAAGCCGACGAUCUGUAGCUGGUCUGAGAGGACGACUAGCCACACUGGGACUGAGACACGGCCCAGACUCCUACGGGAGGCAGCAGUGGGGAAUUUUGGACAAUGGGCGAAAGCCUGAUCCAGCCAUGCCGCGUGCAGGAUGAAGGCCUUCGGGUUGUAAACUGCUUUUGUACGGAACGAAAAGACUCUUUCUAAUAAAGAGGGUCCAUGACGGUACCGUAAGAAUAAGCACCGGCUAACUACGUG